This 575-nucleotide ribosomal RNA is filed under the name Escherichia coli O25. Its description in RNAcentral is "partial 23S ribosomal RNA". It matches the Rfam family "Bacterial large subunit ribosomal RNA", at positions 2235 to 2809 of the family's 2925-position model. Lineage: Bacteria; Pseudomonadati; Pseudomonadota; Gammaproteobacteria; Enterobacterales; Enterobacteriaceae. The record is from RNAcentral.
GUGAUCCGGGUUGCGGACAGUGUCUGGUGGGUAGUUUGACUGGGGCGGUCUCCUCCUAAAGAGUAACGGAGGAGCACGAAGGUUGGCUAAUCCUGGUCGGACAUCAGGAGGUUAGUGCAAUGGCAUAAGCCAGCUUGACUGCGAGCGUGACGGCGCGAGCAGGUGCGAAAGCAGGUCAUAGUGAUCCGGUGGUUCUGAAUGGAAGGGCCAUCGCUCAACGGAUAAAAGGUACUCCGGGGAUAACAGGCUGAUACCGCCCAAGAGUUCAUAUCGACGGCGGUGUUUGGCACCUCGAUGUCGGCUCAUCACAUCCUGGGGCUGAAGUAGGUCCCAAGGGUAUGGCUGUUCGCCAUUUAAAGUGGUACGCGAGCUGGGUUUAGAACGUCGUGAGACAGUUCGGUCCCUAUCUGCCGUGGGCGCUGGAGAACUGAGGGGGGCUGCUCCUAGUACGAGAGGACCGGAGUGGACGCAUCACUGGUGUUCGGGUUGUCAUGCCAAUGGCACUGCCCGGUAGCUAAAUGCGGAAGAGAUAAGUGCUGAAAGCAUCUAAGCACGAAACUUGCCCCGAGAUGAGU